RNAcentral lists this ribosomal RNA (301 nucleotides) under uncultured bacterium. RNAcentral's name for it is "partial 16S ribosomal RNA". It matches the Rfam family "Bacterial small subunit ribosomal RNA", at positions 509 to 807 of the family's 1533-position model. The record is from RNAcentral.
CAGCCGCCACGGUAAUACGUAGGGUGCGAGCGUUAAUCGGAAUUACUGGGCGUAAAGCGUGCGCAGGCGGUUAUAUAAGACAGAUGUGAAAUCCCCGGGCUCAACCUGGGACCUGCAUUUGUGACUGUAUAGCUAGAGUACGGUAGAGGGGGAUGGAAUUCCGCGUGUAGCAGUGAAAUGCGUAGAUAUGCGGAGGAACACCGAUGGCGAAGGCGAUCCCCUGGACCUGUACUGACGCUCAUGCACGAAAGCGUGGGGAGCAAACAGGAUUAGAUACCCGAGUAGUCCCUGUCUCUUAUAC